GACGAACGCUGGCGGCGUGCUUAACACAUGCAAGUCUAGGGGGCCCAGCGAAUGGGUCACCGGCGAACGGGUGCGUAACACGUGAGCGACCUACCUUGAGAUGGGGGAUAGCCGGCCCAACGGCCGGGUAAUACCGCAUACGCUCAUCGGGCUUCAUGGCCUGGUGAGGAAAGCUUUAGCGUCUCUAGGAGGGGCUCGCGGCCUAAUCAGCUAGUUGGCGGGGUAACGCCCACCAA
This 236-nucleotide ribosomal RNA is filed under the name uncultured bacterium. RNAcentral's name for it is "partial 16S ribosomal RNA". It matches the Rfam family "Bacterial small subunit ribosomal RNA", at positions 28 to 271 of the family's 1533-position model. The record is from RNAcentral.